CCUACGGGCGGCAGCAGUGAGGAAUAUUGGUCAAUGGACGAGAGUCUGAACCAGCCAAGUAGCGUGAAGGAUGACUGCCCUAUGGGUUGUAAACUUCUUUUAUAUGGGAAUAAAAUGUUCCACGUGUGGGAUUUUGUAUGUACCAUAUGAAUAAGGAUCGGCUAACUCCGUGCCAGCAGCCGCGGUAAUACGGAGGAUCCGAGCAUUAUCCGGAUUUAUUGGGUUUAAAGGGAGCGUAGGUGGAUUGUUAAGUCAGUUGUGAAAGUUUGCGGCUCAACCGUAAAAUUGCAGUUGAAACUGGCAGUCUUGAGUACAGUAGAGGUGGGCGGAAUUCGUGGUGUAGCGGUGAAAUGCUUAGAUAUCACGAAGAACUCCGAUUGCGAAGGCAGUUCACUGGACUGCAACUGACACUGAGGCUCGAAAGUGUGGGUAUCAAACAGGAUUAGAUACCCGGGUAGUC
Molecule: ribosomal RNA, 460 nt
Filed under: uncultured bacterium
Lineage: Bacteria
Description: partial 16S ribosomal RNA
Rfam family: Bacterial small subunit ribosomal RNA
Source: RNAcentral